UGGGAAAUAGGUGACUGUGAUAAACGGAGCCUGGGAAGAGGGUGAAGUAGAAGAAGCAAUAUCUUUCCGUCAACGCUGCCGUUAUUCAGUGCCUCUGGCUAUGUCUACGUUGCAGUGUAAAACACUAGGGUUAUUCGGAGUCCAGGCAGCAGACCCAUGUGAGGGAACCCUGGACUUGAGCAUCUACUUUGCAUUUUAAUCCUAAAUUACAAAUUUUCUGUUCUGUGGUGGAAUCUAGGGCUCUAGGCAUCCACGCUGUAGUGCACCCGGACCUGAGUCGAAGUAAACCUGGCCAAGAGUUGAUAGUAUUCCCAUGUCAGCUCUGGAGCCCUAGAAGUGUGGUCCUGUUGGGAUCCAGGAAGUGGGCGGGCAGAAGCAAAAGGACCUCCCCACAGCCUCAGGGGAGGAUCUAUAGGUCCGGGAUUCCAAAUGGUUCUGGGGGACAACUAAAGGUAUAACAGGAACGGGAGUGAGGUCGCAGGGCUAAACGAGGGGAACCUAUGGGGACGCCAAGCAAAAAACCCACUGCUCCUCUAAGGUGUCAAGGGAGCCAGCAGAUGCUGCGCAGAGGAACUCUGCCCGGAUGUGUGGAUGGAUUGAGCAGCGGAAAAUCAUAUAUUUAGGAGGAGCCAGAAUAGAGGCUGCAACCUGACGCAUGCCAGAUAUUCAUGCAUCCAGAGUCUCCCAGGGAGCCGGUGUCUGGGAUGGGAGUGAACUGCGCCAAGUACAUGCCCAUAUGUUCGGUGACAGCAGAUGCAAUAUCUUUGCUCCGAGUUUGUCCUUUGAGUCUUCUUGAGGACCUUGAUCAUUAACAUAUCUGCCAAGUAAGGCAACCUGAGUGAUGUCAUCCACAUCGCAUGUCUCAUUGCAGGGAAUAGAAAAACCUGGUGCUGAUCGAAUGUCACUAACCUGCUGGAUUUUUUCAAACUGUUGGACGUUGGAACAUAUUAGUAAAGACAGAGCACAUCUGCUUCCUUUCCCUGUGGCCUGACGCUUUCCACAGCUCCCAUUGGCCAGGAAUGUCAGCAACGGAGCCAACGUACAGUCAACGUCAGCAAAAUGUCUCGUGGCCUGCAAUCAGAUUACCCUGAUGGGCCACGUGCACCCUGCGGGCCGCAGGUUGCCCACCACUGCACUAUGCCUUGUAACAAUAUAACAAUUAAAUGUGAAAAUAUAUCUGUUAAACAUUUAAUACUAAGCAUCCAACAAGCGCUGAUCAGGCAAUUAUUAGAUAGGUAGGGGGAAGAUCUCACUCAGACCACAAACAUCCAACUUCAUUUACACUUGGCACCCUUACACUCUGGGAUGUUAAGAUAAAAAACUUACAGAAGCCUUCUUAAAAGUCCCUCUGAGUUGUCUUACAAAGGUCCUUCUGCUAUGUCAGUAGCUAGAGAUCGCUGUUCGUAGGGGGUGAAUCACAGAUGAUAGUGGCUGCGUUGGGUGGCCGCUUGCUCCUGCUUAGGUGAAGUUUCUCCUCAUAUGGCAGAUAUGGAAGCCCGAUUGGUAGCUGCUGUGGUGGCUUCCUGCUGGUGGAGUGGCAAAAAUGUCCGUUGCCAGGGCAACCUCAGAACCUUGUGUGGACUGCUGCUGCUUCUGUAAGAGCUGCUUGAGAACAAUGCUCGUGAGCAUGUGCUGUGAAGCUGCUAUAGAAACUAGGGUAGAAGGGCCACUAACUACUUAUAAAAGCUGUUGCUUGUGGCUUGUAAUGUUGCUGCCUUGAGAGUGAUGGCGGCUAGUGAGCAUUGUCAACGCUAGUGAGCGCUGUCGAUGCUCGUGAUAGUAGGUAACUAGCUACUCUGCUUCUGCAAGGCAAUAGUUAGCUUUCUUACCCAGCAGGGUUCCGCUGGUGUGGUUGCCACAACUCUGUGAGCGUCUUCUUCCUUCCAUGUGUCCUGCAGCGUUCCUUUCUCCUUCAGGUCCCUGUCCCCUACAAGAUUUUAGCCUGCUGGUUGUCACCUUCGUAUAUAAUUUCAGCUCAGUAGCUAUUAAUUUAUUAUACUAAUUCAGCCAAUGAGCUUCCAGCGAUUUGCAUAUGCUAAUUUAUGCCCAUGUACUGACAUGUGAUACUCAAGUUCAGCCAAUCAGCUUCCAGAUAUUAGCAUAUGUUAUUAGUAAUUAGCAUAUGCUAAUUAGUCACAUGCACAGAAAACUCCUCCUCUCUCCCAUAGACUUCUAUGGGCUGAAUGUAUUGCUAUGGGGUUUUUCAGCUGACCUUUAGAUGACCCCUAGCUACUUCCUGUCUGGAAGUCUCAUUUGUUUCUAUGGGCUACAAUGUAUUUCUA
Molecule: long non-coding RNA, 2282 nt
Organism: Dermochelys coriacea (leatherback sea turtle)
Lineage: Eukaryota; Metazoa; Chordata; Testudines; Dermochelyidae
Exons: 3
Source: RefSeq, a predicted model, not a curated record